RNAcentral lists this ribosomal RNA (463 nucleotides) under uncultured bacterium. RNAcentral describes it as "bacterial SSU rRNA". It matches the Rfam family "Bacterial small subunit ribosomal RNA", at positions 355 to 821 of the family's 1533-position model. The record is from RNAcentral.
UAGGGAAUAUUGGACAAUGGGUGAGAGCCUGAUCCAGCCAUGCCGCGUGCAGGAAGAAGGCGUUAUGCGUUGUAAACUGCUUUUUGCCAGGGGAUAAAAAGACCGUGCGCGGUUAAUUGAAGGUACCUGGUGAAUAAGCCACGGCUAACUACGUGCCAGCAGCCGCGGUAAUACGUAGGUGGCAAGCGUUGUCCGGAUUUAUUGGGUUUAAAGGGUGCGUAGGUGGCCCUGUAAGUCAGUGGUGAAAUAUCUCAGCUUAACUGAGAGGGUGCCAUUGAUACUGCAGGGCUUGAGUACAGAUGAGGUAGGCGGAAUUGACGGUGUAGCGGUGAAAUGCAUAGAUAUCGUCAAGAACACCGAUAGCGAAGGCAGCUUACCAAGCUGUAACUGACACUGAGGCACGAAAGUGUGGGGAUCAAACAGGAUUAGAUACCCCCGUAGUCCCUGAGCGGGCUGGCAAGGC